UACGAAGGGUGCAAACGUUGCUCGGAAUUAUUGGGCGUAAAGCGCACGUAGGCGGCUUGGCAAGUCGGAUGUGAAAUCCCUCGGCUCAACCAAGGAAGUGCAUCCGAAACUGCUGAGCUUGAGUACUUAAGAGGAUCGCGGAAUUCCCGGUGUAGAGGUGAAAUUCGUAGAUAUUCGCAAGAACACCAGUGGCGAAGGCGGCUCACUGGCCCGAUACUGACGCUGAGGCGCGAAGGCGUGGGGAGCGAACGGG
This 253-nucleotide ribosomal RNA is filed under the name uncultured bacterium. Its description in RNAcentral is "partial 16S ribosomal RNA". It matches the Rfam family "Bacterial small subunit ribosomal RNA", at positions 524 to 776 of the family's 1533-position model. The record is from RNAcentral.